CUCCCUGAUGUUAGCGGCGGACGGGUGAGUAACACGUGGGUAACCUGCCUGUAAGACUGGGAUAACUCCGGGAAACCGGGGCUAAUACCGGAUGCUUGUUUGAACCGCAUGGUUCAAACAUAAAAGGUGGCUUCGGCUACCACUUACAGAUGGACCCGCGGCGCAUUAGCUAGUUGGUGAGGUAAUGGCUCACCAAGGCAACGAUGCGUAGCCGACCUGAGAGGGUGAUCGGCCACACUGGGACUGAGACACGGCCCAGACUCCUACGGGAGGCAGCAGUAGGGAAUCUUCCGCAAUGGACGAAAGUCUGACGGAGCAACGCCGCGUGAGUGAUGAAGGUUUUCGGAUCGUAAAGCUCUGUUGUUAGGGAAGAACAAGUACCGUUCGAAUAGGGCGGUACCUUGACGGUACCUAACCAGAAAGCCACGGCUAACUACGUGCCAGCAGCCGCGGUAAUACGUAGGUGGCAAGCGUUGUCCGGAAUUAUUGGGCGUAAAGGGCUCGCAGGCGGUUUCUUAAGUCUGAUGUGAAAGCCCCCGGCUCAACCGGGGAGGGUCAUUGGAAACUGGGGAACUUGAGUGCAGAAGAGGAGAGUGGAAUUCCACGUGUAGCGGUGAAAUGCGUAGAGAUGUGGAGGAACACCAGUGGCGAAGGCGACUCUCUGGUCUGUAACUGACGCUGAGGAGCGAAAGCGUGGGGAGCGAACAGGAUUAGAUACCCUGGUAGUCCACGCCGUAAACGAUGAGUGCUAACUGUUAGGGGGUUUCCGCCCCUUAGUGCUGCAGCUAACGCAUUAAGCACUCCGCCUGGGGAGUACGGUCGCAAGACUGAAACUCAAAGGAAUUGACGGGGGCCCGCACAAACGGUGGAGCAUGUGGUUUAAUUCGAAACAACGCGAAG
Molecule: ribosomal RNA, 900 nt
Filed under: Bacillus spizizenii
Lineage: Bacteria; Bacillati; Bacillota; Bacilli; Caryophanales; Bacillaceae
Description: bacterial SSU rRNA
Rfam family: Bacterial small subunit ribosomal RNA
Source: RNAcentral